This 411-nucleotide long non-coding RNA is filed under the name Ricinus communis (castor bean). RNAcentral describes it as "long non-coding RNA (RCOM_LNC003622)". The record is from RNAcentral. Lineage: Eukaryota; Viridiplantae; Streptophyta; Magnoliopsida; Malpighiales; Euphorbiaceae.
CGCAGUGCAACAUCUGCCUAAUAACACGCCCAAGCUCGGAGAUCAUCUCCAGCCUUAACAUAAGCAUACGUCCGUGCAAGAACUGCAUCGUCGGCAAGAUACGAGCUUGUGUGCCCAUGCGAGGCAGAUCCAAGAAAUGUGUGCCUCGGCCGAAGGGGACGGCGCCUCAUGCGUCGGCAUGCUGCAAGGUUGACUAUUGCUUGGUUUCGGGCAUCUUAUGACAAUGCAUCGCCCACACCGUGCGUUGACAACCUAUUAGCACGCUCUUGCAUGGGGUUGGGCCCCAACAGCUUUGGUUGGAUCUUCCAUCCAUGUCUCGGCCUCGCCCUCUACGGCCAUCACAGCCGCAUAAAAUUCCGUCAAUUCAUAUUCGGGCCCGCGUCAGUUCCGACUGGGGCUAUUAUAGGCUAC